AUCCAUCUGACGAGUUUUAAAUAGGACGAAACGCGUGUCCUGCAU
Molecule: non-coding RNA, 45 nt
Filed under: Schistosoma margrebowiei
Lineage: Eukaryota; Metazoa; Platyhelminthes; Trematoda; Strigeidida; Schistosomatidae
Source: RNAcentral